CCGACUAGUUCCGGGUUCGA
This 20-nucleotide transfer RNA is filed under the name Correa backhouseana var. coriacea. RNAcentral describes it as "partial tRNA-Lys". The record is from RNAcentral. Lineage: Eukaryota; Viridiplantae; Streptophyta; Magnoliopsida; Sapindales; Rutaceae.